CCCUUAGAUGUUCUGGGCCGCACGCGCGCUACACUGAUUCAUGCACUAAGUAUAUAACCUUGGUAGAAAUGCUUGGGUAAUCUUCGAAACUGAAUCGUGCUGGGGAUUGGAGCUUGUAAUUAUUCUCCAUGAACGAGGAAUUCCUAGUAAACGCGAGUCAUCAGCUCGCAUUGAUUACGUCCCUGCCCUUUGUACACACCGCCCGUCGCUCCUACCGAUUGAAUGCUCAGGUGAGCCAUUCGGACUUUCAUCAUGCUGGUUUCCAGUUUUGAUGAAGGAAAGUCUUGCGAACCUUAUCAUUUAGAGGAAGGAGAAGUCGUAACA
Molecule: ribosomal RNA, 324 nt
Filed under: uncultured eukaryote
Lineage: Eukaryota
Description: partial 18S ribosomal RNA
Rfam family: Eukaryotic small subunit ribosomal RNA
Source: RNAcentral